AUCCUCUCAGGAUCGCACCUGGAGAGUUUCCACUACUCUACCAGUCUUGACAAUGGGAGGGAAAGUCAAGCAGAGUGAUACCCAAUCCAUUCCUAACUUGAGCAGUGGCUAGCGAGUGGAAGGCAAUCUGCUACAUGU
Small nucleolar RNA from Tachyglossus aculeatus (Australian echidna), 138 nucleotides. NCBI's taxonomy places the organism in Eukaryota, Metazoa, Chordata, Mammalia, Monotremata, Tachyglossidae. The record is from RefSeq and is a predicted model, not a curated record.